GAGAAUUAAAGAAGAUAAUACAUAUUAAGCAGUUAGCACAGUCCCUGGCACAUAGGAAUUAUCCAAUAUCUACCAUAUCUACCAGUUCUUUCUUUCAUCAUUGUUAUUAUUUUCAUCAUUAGGAAGUCAUCUCUUUCUUCCUUUUGGUGGCAUUCCCUGGCACCUCUCUCCCAGUUUUAAGGAUCUCAAGGGCAGCAUAUUCCACAAGACUUUUAGUACCUCUGGUAGCAUUUGUGGAUUUGUGUGUCUGUGGAUGUAGAUAUUUGGAAAAAAAAAUGUCAAAACUCUUU
This 290-nucleotide long non-coding RNA is filed under the name Homo sapiens (human). RNAcentral describes it as "non-protein coding lnc-LY86-8:1". Lineage: Eukaryota; Metazoa; Chordata; Mammalia; Primates; Hominidae. The record is from RNAcentral.